UUUUUUGUCUACCUGUCUGCAGAGUCCUCUGUUUUCUUGCUAAACUUCCACAGUUGUGGUUCCAUCAGGCUCAGCGAGCGCAUUUGCAGGAUCAGCAUGCCUGAAAUAACUUACUCCCAUCGAAUAAGAAACUGAGUCAGAGCUGAGUAGCUGUGUAGUUUGGAUGUAGCCAGGAUCCCGGCUUCCUACUGGACAAGCGUGCCAGAGCAGGAAGUAGUGUUUACACUGAAUGCAUGAGACUUCAUAGUCUGUUCCUCUUUUCCUUUAACAGAAAUUUAACUAGGCAAAUAAAAUAAAGAAAAAGGGAUAUAGUCAGACUGACUACCACCCACUCUCCCAAAGCAAGUGUUCAAUAAUUUAACAAGUUGUUCUGGGGUUGUUGGAUUAUGGUUGUUUCUUUUCUUGUGGUUUCCAGCUUUUCUCUGUGAGCUAUUUUUAUAUUAUGAAAAAGUAAGUUUUGCUUGAAAGAUAAUAGUGUAAACAUUGAUCAG
This is a long non-coding RNA of Myotis davidii, 491 nucleotides long. RefSeq lists it as uncharacterized. The record is from RefSeq and is a predicted model, not a curated record. NCBI's taxonomy places the organism in Eukaryota, Metazoa, Chordata, Mammalia, Chiroptera, Vespertilionidae. The transcript is spliced from 3 exons.